GAUGAAGAACGUAGCGAAAUGCGAUAAGUAGUGUGAAUUGCAGAAUUCAGUGAAUCAUCGAAUCUUUGAACGCACAUUGCGCCCCUUGGUAUUCCAUGGGGCAUGCCUGUUCGAGCGUCAUUUGUACCUUCAAGCUCUGCUUGGUGUUGGGUGAUUGUCUAUCUUUGUAGACUCGCCUUAAAGUCAUUGGCAGCCGGCAUAUUGGCCUGGGAGCGCAGCACAAGUCGCGCUUCUUGUCAUGAAUGUUGGCGUACAGUAAGUCUACAUAUUUUGCUCUUGACCUCGGAUCAGGUAGGGAUACCCGCUGAACUUAAGCAUAUCAAUAAGCGGAGGA
This 334-nucleotide unclassified non-coding RNA is filed under the name soil metagenome. RNAcentral describes it as "partial contains 5.8S ribosomal RNA, internal transcribed spacer 2, and large subunit ribosomal RNA". The stretch from base 1 to 120 matches the Rfam family "5.8S ribosomal RNA", at positions 35 to 154 of the family's 154-position model. The record is from RNAcentral.